UUUCAAAUAAAUUGUUCAAAAUUGUUUACAAUGUAGCAAAUAACGUUUGAGCAGAAUUAUUAGCAAUAUAAACAUUGUUUUUGAUUGAAAAAUGACUAAAAACAGUGGAAAAAUCUCAAAAUAAUUGAAAAAACUUUCAAAAAAAAAAUUGUUCGAAGUCGUACCGAUAAAUCGAAAAACUAAUGAUGCCAAUGGAUUUCUCGGGUCCGAAAUAGGGCGAAACAGUUAAUCGCGCGCCUGUCUCAAAAAUUUUUUUCAAAAAACUUGCACAGUGUUAUGGAUGCUUUGCAAGCAAAGAGCAAGGAACGUCAGUGGCAAAAGUAUUGGAUGAUACUCGAUUGAUUGAGGGAAUAGAAGGCGUGCGGAGGCUAAUCCUUGGGCAGAUCAUGUUCAAGAGAAACCAAAUCGAUUGAAGUUAGUUGUAGAUGUGUCUGGUUCCAUGUAGAGAUUUAAUGGCUACGAUCAACGGCUGGACUGAGAAUUAGAAGCUGUUGUCAUGGUAAUGGAGGCCUUCGAAGGAUACGAAAAGAAAAUCAUUUACGAUAUUGUUGGUCACAGUGGUGAGCGAUGGGAAGUUCCUUUCGUUUUAGCUGGAAAACCACCAGCUACAGACAAGAAG
This is a long non-coding RNA of Episyrphus balteatus (marmalade hoverfly), 619 nucleotides long. RefSeq lists it as uncharacterized. The record is from RefSeq and is a predicted model, not a curated record. Lineage: Eukaryota; Metazoa; Arthropoda; Insecta; Diptera; Syrphidae. The transcript is spliced from 2 exons.